GAGAUAUGAUGAAUACCCAAUUUGGUCCGUGUUUCUGAAUAAACCGUGACAGAUAAACCCUACCAAUCUCUGAUCUC
RNAcentral lists this small nucleolar RNA (77 nucleotides) under Olea europaea subsp. europaea. RNAcentral describes it as "Small nucleolar RNA SNORD18". It matches the Rfam family "Small nucleolar RNA SNORD18". Rfam says of the family: U18 is a member of the C/D class of snoRNA which contain the C (UGAUGA) and D (CUGA) box motifs. It is encoded in introns of ribosomal protein L1 in Xenopus and human, and in introns of elongation factor 1 beta in yeast. The record is from Rfam by way of RNAcentral. Lineage: Eukaryota; Viridiplantae; Streptophyta; Magnoliopsida; Lamiales; Oleaceae.